RNAcentral lists this ribosomal RNA (760 nucleotides) under uncultured Prevotella sp. Its description in RNAcentral is "bacterial SSU rRNA". It matches the Rfam family "Bacterial small subunit ribosomal RNA", at positions 28 to 776 of the family's 1533-position model. Lineage: Bacteria; Pseudomonadati; Bacteroidota; Bacteroidia; Bacteroidales; Prevotellaceae. The record is from RNAcentral.
GAUGAACGCUGGCUACAGGCUUAACACAUGCAAGUCGAGGGGAAACGACGGGGAAGCUUGCUUCCCCGGGCGUCGACCGGCGCACGGGUGAGUAACGCGUAUCCAACCUGCCUCUGACUGAGGGAUAACCCGUCGAAAGUCGGCCUAAUACCUCAUGGCAUCGUCUGCGGGCAUCCAACGACGAUUAAAGAUUUCAUCGGUCAGGGAUGGGGAUGCGUCUGAUUAGCUUGUUGGCGGGGUAACGGCCCACCAAGGCUACGAUCAGUAGGGGUUCUGAGAGGAAGGUCCCCCACAUUGGAACUGAGACACGGUCCAAACUCCUACGGGAGGCAGCAGUGAGGAAUAUUGGUCAAUGGGCGGGAGCCUGAACCAGCCAAGUAGCGUGCAGGAAGACGGCCCUAUGGGUUGUAAACUGCUUUUAUGCGGGGAUGAAGUGAGGGACGUGUCCUUCAUUGCAGGUACCGCAUGAAUAAGGACCGGCUAAUUCCGUGCCAGCAGCCGCGGUAAUACGGAAGGUCCUGGCGUUAUCCGGAUUUAUUGGGUUUAAAGGGAGCGUAGGCCGUGGAUUAAGCGUGUUGUGAAAUGCAGGUGCUCAACGUCUGCACUGCAGCGCGAACUGGUCCACUAGAGUGUGCGCAACGCAGGCGGAAUUCGUCGUGUAGCGGUGAAAUGCUUAGAUAUGACGAAGAACUCCGAUUGCGAAGGCAGCCUGCGGGAGCACAACUGACGCUGAAGCUCGAAAGUGCGGGUAUCGAACAGG